RNAcentral lists this ribosomal RNA (209 nucleotides) under Vibrio parahaemolyticus. RNAcentral describes it as "partial 23S ribosomal RNA". It matches the Rfam family "Bacterial large subunit ribosomal RNA", at positions 772 to 979 of the family's 2925-position model. The record is from RNAcentral. Lineage: Bacteria; Pseudomonadati; Pseudomonadota; Gammaproteobacteria; Vibrionales; Vibrionaceae.
GCCCGAACCCACGCACGUUGAAAAGUGCGGGGAUGAGGUGUGGGUAGGGGUGAAAUGCCAAUCGAACCUGGAGAUAGCUGGUUCUCUCCGAAAUAGCUUUAGGGCUAGCCUCAAGGUAAGAGUCUUGGAGGUAGAGCACUGAUUGGACUAGGGGCCCCUACCGGGUUACCGAAUUCAGUCAAACUCCGAAUGCCAAUGACUUAUCCUUG